Molecule: ribosomal RNA, 253 nt
Filed under: uncultured bacterium
Lineage: Bacteria
Description: partial 16S ribosomal RNA
Rfam family: Bacterial small subunit ribosomal RNA
Source: RNAcentral
UACGGGGGGGGCAAGCGUUGUUCGGAAUUACUGGGCGUAAAGGGUUUGUAGGUGGCUUGUUAAGUCAGACGUGAAAUCCCUCAGCUUAACUGGGGAACUGCGUCUGAUACUGGCGAGCUUGAGUGCAGGAGAGGAACGCGGAAUUCCAGGUGUAGCGGUGAAAUGCGUAGAUAUUGGGAGGAACACCAGUGGCGAAGGCGGCUCACUGGACCGGUACUGACGCUGAUGCGCGAAAGCGUGGGGAGCAAACAGG